This 816-nucleotide unclassified non-coding RNA is filed under the name Zea mays. RNAcentral's name for it is "misc RNA Zm00001eb147440". Lineage: Eukaryota; Viridiplantae; Streptophyta; Magnoliopsida; Poales; Poaceae. The record is from RNAcentral.
CCAGCCACUGCAUACGCUCUCUAAUCCUCAGCACGUCAGUCGGCCUCAUCCUCUCCUCCCAGCCGUGCCUGAUUUUUUUGGCCGCCGCUCACCGCCGGUGGAGAUUCCGCCGCCGUUCUCCUCUGGCGCGGCCUUAUCUCCUCCCUCUGUGCUGAUGCCGCGUGUUUCUCUCUCUCUCAGAGUUCCUUGCUGUUCUCUCUCUGUAAGAUUUUUUUUCAGCCGCCUAGUUGUCCUCUUCUUUAUCUACCUGCUCUUCUCCUCUGGCCACAGCAGUGUCGUGGGUGAGCUCAACCAGUCGCACGCACAGGGCCGCGCGAGGAGACCCUCUGCUCGGUUCCCUGCUCCUCGCCUUACCCCAUGGCUGCGUCGCGCCCAGCCCAUGCUCGCUAGACGAGCUCUCCCCAGCCGCGUUGGCUCCCCUGCUCGCCCCUGCUUCUCCCUUCGGCCAACCGGAUCUCUCUCCUUCCCCGCGCGCAACCUUCUGUCGGCUUCCUGCUCCCGGGUCUGGAGCUUCCAUGGCGUCGUGGUUUCCUAUCUUCCAUCCCCUUUGUUCCCUGCGCCCAAGUUUUAUUUUCCCUUGCCAUGGCCGCACCCCUCAAGCUCCUGCGCCGCGCUGGGCUCUCUGCUUGAGCGCGCGCCCCUGCUUCCCUGUUCUCUAUUCCCGCGCCGGAUUUCCAGCGGGCUCCCUCUCCCACGGUCGUCUCCUUCCCCUAGCAAUUGGCUGCCGCUGCAUCACGCCCAGAAAGCGCUCGACCACCGUUCCUAGCUUCGGCUUCUUCAGUCUGCCCCGGCUCGGCGCUUGGACACCGGGUCCAC